RNAcentral lists this ribosomal RNA (255 nucleotides) under uncultured bacterium. RNAcentral's name for it is "partial 16S ribosomal RNA". It matches the Rfam family "Archaeal small subunit ribosomal RNA", at positions 474 to 727 of the family's 1478-position model. The record is from RNAcentral.
UACCAGCACCCCGAGUGGUCGGGACGAUUAUUGGGCCUAAAGCAUCCGUAGCCGGUCCUACAAGUCUUCCGUUAAAUCCACCUGCUUAACAGAUGGGCUGCGGAAGAUACUAUAGGGCUAGGAGGCGGGAGAGGCAAGCGGUACUCGAGUGGGUAGGGGUAAAAUCCUCUGAUCCAUUGAAGACCACCAGUGGCGAAGGCGGCUUGCCAGAACGCGCUCGACGGUGAGGGAUGAAAGCUGGGGGGAGCAAACCGG